GUCCCAGCCCCUCGCGCGCGUCCGGACCCCGAGCUCGCUUCACGCCGUGGUUGUUUCUCACCUGGUGCUCUUCUUCUGGGUAAAUUUUACCCAAUCUUUCGCCCAUCACCUUCAACGAAUACAAUGAGAGCAAGGGGAGGGGAGAAAGGGUGAGGAAAACAAAAGCACACACCUCCUAAGAACACGCCUCCUGCUCUCUCUGGACCCCGCCUCCGAAGGGAAGCAACCGGGCAGCAGUGAUGGUUGACGCGUCAAGCGCCAUCUUUCACGUGGGCGGAAGAAGUUGCUCCUUAAUUUUCGUUGCCUCGUGGGACACCGUAGGUACGUUUUGGAGUUUUCGAUUUGAGGUUACGUGAACGCGCGAGGCCUGUGGAAGGGGGAGGGCCAAACUUGCUCCAUCCCUUUGUUCCCUGACGUGCUUCGUGAAAAUGUUGAGUAAGGUGUUAGCCGAGAUAGUACUGUUUUUAGUGGGGAAGGCUGCCGGCCCCGAGAAAGCCGAGUUGGUAGUUGUGAAUGAUUUUGUUUGUGCUUGAAAUGUCUUCUGUGCUGCUUUGGAGCUGGAGUUGAGGUCUUGUUGAUUACCUCCCAUUUACCAGGAUUACAGCAAAUUAGAUUUAACUGUGACUGGCAUGCGAACUGAGGUCGGACAUGGAUGAGGAAUAUUGCUAUAUAAACCACAGCAGGCUAUACACAUUUGCUAUUGAAAUCGACCACCUCAAUGCCUACGGUGUUACAAACAUGUGGUGGGCCCUCAUGGGAUGGAGGAAAGUGCACUGGAUUUGUAAUGCCACCUCUGUGUCUUAUUCCACAUAGGGUGAGUUCCUUUGUUUAGGACCCAUGGCUUCAGUCAAUCCCUUUGGUAA
RNAcentral lists this long non-coding RNA (863 nucleotides) under Ursus maritimus (polar bear). RNAcentral's name for it is "lncRNA (ENSUMAG00000005788.1)". Lineage: Eukaryota; Metazoa; Chordata; Mammalia; Carnivora; Ursidae. The record is from RNAcentral.